GUCUAUGGCCAUACCACCCUGAACGCGCCGAAUCUCGUUUGAUCUUGGAAGCUAAGCAGGGUUGGGCCUGGUUAGUACUUGGAUGGGAGCCAAAUAAAAAUAAAUACAUCUUUUCUGAAAAAAGAGAGAGAGACA
Molecule: ribosomal RNA, 135 nt
Organism: Ochotona princeps (American pika)
Lineage: Eukaryota; Metazoa; Chordata; Mammalia; Lagomorpha; Ochotonidae
Source: Ensembl